GAAAUGCGAUAAGUAAUGUGAAUUGCAGAAUUCAGUGAAUCAUCGAAUCUUUGAACGCACAUUGCGCCCGCCAGUAUUCUGGCGGGCAUGCCUGUUCGAGCGUCAUUUCAACCAUCAAGCCCCCGGCUUGUGUUGGGGACCUGCGGCUGCCCGCAGGCCCUGAAAAACAGUGGCGGGCUCGCUGUCACACCGAGCGUAGUAGCAUACAUUCUCGCUCAGGGCGUGCUACGGGUUCCGGCCGUUAAACGACCUUCAUAACCCAAGGUUGACCUCGGAUCAGGUAGGAAGACCAGCUGAACUUAAGC
Molecule: unclassified non-coding RNA, 305 nt
Filed under: plant metagenome
Description: partial contains 5.8S ribosomal RNA, internal transcribed spacer 2, and large subunit ribosomal RNA
Rfam family: 5.8S ribosomal RNA (bases 1-105)
Source: RNAcentral